CUACGGGGCGCACCAGUGGGGAAUAUUGGACAAUGGGGGAAACCCUGAUCCAGCAAUGCCGCGUGUGUGAAGAAGGCCUGCGGGUUGUAAAGCACUUUCGGUUGGGAGGACUGCUUCUAGCACUAAUAUUGUUGGAAGUUGACGUUACCUUCAGAAGAAGCACCGGCUAACUCCGUGCCAGCAGCCGCAGUGAAUACGGAGGGUGCAAGCGUUAAUCGGAAUUACUGGGCGUAAAGCGCGCGUAGGCGGCUAGAUCAGUCGGGUGUGAAAGCCCCGGGCUUAACCUGGGAACUGCAUCCGAUACUGUCUAGCUUGAGUACAGGAGAGGAGAGUGGAAUUCCACAUGUAGCGGUGAAAUGCGUAGAUAUGUGGAGGAACACCAAUGGCGAAGGCAGCUCUCUGGCCUGAUACUGACGCUGAGGUGCGAAAGCGUGGGGAGCAAACAGGAUUAGAUACCCUCGUAGUC
This 466-nucleotide ribosomal RNA is filed under the name uncultured bacterium. RNAcentral's name for it is "partial 16S ribosomal RNA". It matches the Rfam family "Bacterial small subunit ribosomal RNA", at positions 339 to 795 of the family's 1533-position model. The record is from RNAcentral.